Molecule: transfer RNA, 73 nt
Filed under: Anaerolineaceae bacterium
Lineage: Bacteria; Bacillati; Chloroflexota; Anaerolineae; Anaerolineales; Anaerolineaceae
Also listed under: 2 other names
Description: tRNA-Lys
Rfam family: tRNA
About the family: Transfer RNA (tRNA) molecules are approximately 80 nucleotides in length. Their secondary structure includes four short double-helical elements and three loops (D, anti-codon, and T loops). Further hydrogen bonds mediate the characteristic L-shaped molecular structure. tRNAs have two regions of fundamental functional importance: the anti-codon, which is responsible for specific mRNA codon recognition, and the 3' end, to which the tRNAs corresponding amino acid is attached (by aminoacyl-tRNA synthetases). tRNAs cope with the degeneracy of the genetic code in two manners: having more than one tRNA (with a specific anti-codon) for a particular amino acid; and 'wobble' base-pairing, i.e. permitting non-standard base-pairing at the 3rd anti-codon position.
Source: RNAcentral
GGCUCCGUAGCUCAGUUGGCAGAGCACCUGACUUUUAAUCAGAGUGUCGAAGGUUCGAGUCCUUCCGGAGUCA